GGUAUACCUCACGCCCGUGGGGUCGAACAGGCGGAAUGGGGGACGCCUGUUCAUUACAAAAGCGUCU
RNAcentral lists this small RNA (67 nucleotides) under Prosthecochloris sp. GSB1. RNAcentral describes it as "Chlorobium bathyomarinum Chlorobi-1 RNA". It matches the Rfam family "Chlorobi-1 RNA". The record is from Rfam by way of RNAcentral. Lineage: Bacteria; Pseudomonadati; Chlorobiota; Chlorobiia; Chlorobiales; Chlorobiaceae.